AACGAACGCUGGCGGCAUGCCUAGCACAUGCCAGUCGAACGAUGCCUUCGGGCAUAGUGGCGCACGGGUGCGUAACGCGUGGGAAUCUGCCUUUCGGUUCGGAAUAACUCAGGGAAACUUGAGCUAAUACCGGAUAACGUCGCAAGACCAAAGAUUUAUCACCGAAAGAUGAGCCCGCGUAGGAUUAGCUAGUUGGUGAGGUAAAGGCUCACCAAGGCGACGAUCCUUAGCUGGUCUGAGAGGAUGAUCAGCCACACUGGGACUGAGACACGGCCCAGACUCCUACGGGAGGCAGCAGUGGGGAAUAUUGGACAAUGGGCGAAAGCCUGAUCCAGCAAUGCCGCGUGAGUGAUGAAGGCCUUAGGGUUGUAAAGCUCUUUUACCCGGGAAGAUAAUGACGGUACCGGGAGAAUAAGCCCCGGCUAACUCCGUG
This 433-nucleotide ribosomal RNA is filed under the name uncultured bacterium. RNAcentral describes it as "partial 16S ribosomal RNA". It matches the Rfam family "Bacterial small subunit ribosomal RNA", at positions 29 to 507 of the family's 1533-position model. The record is from RNAcentral.